This 1687-nucleotide ribosomal RNA is filed under the name Salmonella enterica subsp. enterica. RNAcentral describes it as "partial 23S ribosomal RNA". It matches the Rfam family "Bacterial large subunit ribosomal RNA", at positions 1271 to 2925 of the family's 2925-position model. Lineage: Bacteria; Pseudomonadati; Pseudomonadota; Gammaproteobacteria; Enterobacterales; Enterobacteriaceae. The record is from RNAcentral.
UGCUGGAGGUAUCAGAAGUGCGAAUGCUGACAUAAGUAACGAUAAAGCGGGUGAAAAGCCCGCUCGCCGGAAGACCAAGGGUUCCUGUCCAACGUUAAUCGGGGCAGGGUGAGUCGACCCCUAAGGCGAGGCCGAAAGGCGUAGUCGAUGGGAAACGGGUUAAUAUUCCCGUACUUGGUGUUACUGCGAAGGGGGGACGGAGAAGGCUAUGUUGGCCGGGCGACGGUUGUCCCGGUUUAAGCGUGUAGGUGUGUGUUCCAGGUAAAUCCGGUUCACUUUAACACUGAGGCGUGACGACGAGGCACUACGGUGCUGAAGCAACAAAUGCCCUGCUUCCAGGAAAAGCCUCUAAGCAUCAGGUAACAUCAAAUCGUACCCCAAACCGACACAGGUGGUCAGGUAGAGAAUACCAAGGCGCUUGAGAGAACUCGGGUGAAGGAACUAGGCAAAAUGGUGCCGUAACUUCGGGAGAAGGCACGCUGAUAUGUAGGUGAAGCGGUUUACCCGUGGAGCUGAAAUCAGUCGAAGAUACCAGCUGGCUGCAACUGUUUAUUAAAAACACAGCACUGUGCAAACACGAAAGUGGACGUAUACGGUGUGACGCCUGCCCGGUGCCGGAAGGUUAAUUGAUGGGGUCAGCGCAAGCGAAGCUCCUGAUCGAAGCCCCGGUAAACGGCGGCCGUAACUAUAACGGUCCUAAGGUAGCGAAAUUCCUUGUCGGGUAAGUUCCGACCUGCACGAAUGGCGUAAUGAUGGCCAGGCUGUCUCCACCCGAGACUCAGUGAAAUUGAACUCGCUGUGAAGAUGCAGUGUACCCGCGGCAAGACGGAAAGACCCCGUGAACCUUUACUAUAGCUUGACACUGAACAUUGAGCCUUGAUGUGUAGGAUAGGUGGGAGGCUUUGAAGUGUGGACGCCAGUCUGCAUGGAGCCGACCUUGAAAUACCACCCUUUAAUGUUUGAUGUUCUAACGUGGACCCGUGAUCCGGGUUGCGGACAGUGUCUGGUGGGUAGUUUGACUGGGGCGGUCUCCUCCUAAAGAGUAACGGAGGAGCACGAAGGUUGGCUAAUCCUGGUCGGACAUCAGGAGGUUAGUGCAAUGGCAUAAGCCAGCUUGACUGCGAGCGUGACGGCGCGAGCAGGUGCGAAAGCAGGUCAUAGUGAUCCGGUGGUUCUGAAUGGAAGGGCCAUCGCUCAACGGAUAAAAGGUACUCCGGGGAUAACAGGCUGAUACCGCCCAAGAGUUCAUAUCGACGGCGGUGUUUGGCACCUCGAUGUCGGCUCAUCACAUCCUGGGGCUGAAGUAGGUCCCAAGGGUAUGGCUGUUCGCCAUUUAAAGUGGUACGCGAGCUGGGUUUAGAACGUCGUGAGACAGUUCGGUCCCUAUCUGCCGUGGGCGCUGGAGAACUGAGGGGGGCUGCUCCUAGUACGAGAGGACCGGAGUGGACGCAUCACUGGUGUUCGGGUUGUCAUGCCAAUGGCACUGCCCGGUAGCUAAAUGCGGAAGAGAUAAGUGCUGAAAGCAUCUAAGCACGAAACUUGCCCCGAGAUGAGUUCUCCCUGAGACUUUAGGUCUCCUGAAGGAACGUUGAAGACGACGACGUUGAUAGGCCGGGUGUGUAAGCGCAGCGAUGCGUUGAGCUAACCGGUACUAAUGAACCGUGAGGCUUAACCUUACAACGCCGAA